This 320-nucleotide ribosomal RNA is filed under the name uncultured bacterium. Its description in RNAcentral is "bacterial SSU rRNA". It matches the Rfam family "Bacterial small subunit ribosomal RNA", at positions 470 to 789 of the family's 1533-position model. The record is from RNAcentral.
UGACGGUACCUGACUAAGAAGCCCCGGCUAACUACGUGCCAGCAGCCGCGGUGAUACGUAGGGGGCAAGCGUUAUCCGGAUUUACUGGGUGUAAAGGGAGCGUAGACGGAAUUGCAAGUCUGAUGUGAAAGGCAUGGGCUCAACCUGUGGACUGCAUUGGAAACUGUGAUUCUUGAGUGCCGGAGGGGUAAGCGGAAUUCCUGGUGUAGCGGUGAAAUGCGUAGAUAUCAGGAGGAACACCGGUGGCGAAGGCGGCUUACUGGACGGCAACUGACGUUGAGGCUCGAAGGCGUGGGGAGCAAACAGGAUUAGAUACCCUG